GGGUCUGGGCGCGAGCCUGCCUGGAGCCGCCGUCGGUGCAGAUCUUGGUGGUAGUAGCAAAUAGUCCAGCGAGGCCCUGGAGGACUGACAUGGAGAAGGGUUUCGUGUGAACAGCCGUUGCACACGAGUCAGUCGAUCCUAAGCCCUAGGAGAAAUCCUAUGUCAAUGACGGCGUACGAUACUCUAGUGUCCCGCGUUCUCGCAACUCUCUGCCAAUAGAGAGGAGAGUGAGAGAGGAGAGAGACACACGCCCGUCGGGCGAAAGGGAAUCCGGUUCCUAUUCCGGAACCCGGCAGCGGAACCGCAUACAAUUCGGGCCCUCGUAAGAGUGUUCGUCGGGGUAACCCAAAAUGACCUGGAGACGCCGUCGGGAGAUCCGGGAAGAGUUUUCUUUUCUGUAUAAGCGUUCGAGUUCCCUGGAAACCUCUAGCAGGGAGAUAGGGUUUGGAACGCGAAGAGCACCGCAGUUGCGGCGGUGGCCGGAUCUUCCCCUCGGACCUUGAAAAUCCAGGAGAGGGCCACGUGGAGGUGUCGCGCCGGCUCGUACCUAUAUCCACAGCAGGUCUCCAAGGUAAAGAGCCUCUAGUCGAUAGACUAAUGUAGGUAAGGGAAGUCGGCA
This 619-nucleotide non-coding RNA is filed under the name Trachymyrmex cornetzi. RNAcentral's name for it is "Eukaryotic large subunit ribosomal RNA". It matches the Rfam family "Eukaryotic large subunit ribosomal RNA", at positions 1407 to 1919 of the family's 3401-position model. Lineage: Eukaryota; Metazoa; Arthropoda; Insecta; Hymenoptera; Formicidae. The record is from Rfam by way of RNAcentral.